Molecule: ribosomal RNA, 497 nt
Filed under: uncultured bacterium
Lineage: Bacteria
Description: partial 16S ribosomal RNA
Rfam family: Bacterial small subunit ribosomal RNA
Source: RNAcentral
GAUGAACGCUGGCGGCGUGCCUAAUACAUGCAAGUCGAGCGAACGGACGAGAAGCUUGCUUCUCUGAUGUUAGCGGCGGACGGGUGAGUAACACGUGGAUAACCUACCUAUAAGACUGGGAUAACUUCGGGAGACCGGAGCUAAUACCGGAUAAUAUUUUGAACCGCAUGGUUCAAAAGUGAAAGACGGUCUUGCUGUCACUUAUAGAUGGAUCCGCGCUGCAUUAGCUAGUUGGUAAGGUAACGGCUUACCAAGGCAACGAUGCAUAGCCGACCUGAGAGGGUGAUCGGCCACACUGGAACUGAGACACGGUCCAGACUCCUACGGGAGGCAGCAGUAGGGAAUCUUCCGCAAAGGGCGAAAGCCUGACGGAGCAACGCCGCGUGAGUGAUGAAGGUCUUCGGAUCGUAAAACUCUGUUAUUAGGGAAGAACAUAUGUGUAAGUAACUGUGCCCAUCUUGACGGUACCUAAUCAGAAAGCCACGGCUAACUACGUG